This is a non-coding RNA of Paramisgurnus dabryanus, 393 nucleotides long. Lineage: Eukaryota; Metazoa; Chordata; Actinopteri; Cypriniformes; Cobitidae. The record is from the annotation of a RefSeq genome assembly.
AUGACUUUCAUCAUCAUCUUCAUCUGGACACUUUUUAUCCAAGGUGUCAGUGGACAGAUAACUGUGACUCAAACUCCAUCUGUUAAAACUGUUCAGACUGGUGAAUCUGUCACUAUAAACUGCAAAACAAAUACAGAAGUGAGCAACUAUUGUACUGGUUCAUAUACUUGUAUGGCCUGGUACCUGCAGAAACCUGGAGAAGCUCCUAAACUCUUGAUUUAUGCUGCAAUUCAAAGAUUCUCAAACACUCCAUCAAGAUUCAGUGGCAGUGGAACAGCAAACACUGGAAAAGAUUUCACUUUGACCAUCAGUGGAGUUCAGACUGAAGAUUCAGGAGAUUAUUACUGUCAGAGUUUUCACAAUCCUGGUAGUAGCUGGGUGUUGACACAGUGA